Molecule: long non-coding RNA, 271 nt
Filed under: Capsella rubella
Lineage: Eukaryota; Viridiplantae; Streptophyta; Magnoliopsida; Brassicales; Brassicaceae
Description: long non-coding RNA (CRUB_LNC004662)
Source: RNAcentral
GAGUAAAAUUGAUGAAUUUGAUGGUGUUCAAGUUCCAAACUUUGACUACUUAAAAGAGGGAAUUUUAAGUAAAAAGAAAAAAGAAAGAAAAAAAAAACUUAUAAACUGUUUUUGUAAUCUUAUGUUCAGAUGUUAGUUCAUAGUUGCUUCUUUAUACAACUCACAGACUUAUAGUAAAGCACAUAUCCCGACGUAACCAACGAGUCCACCAACAUUCUUCUAUGGCCCAUUGAUUAUUAAGUACAUUAAAAUGUGUAAUAGUGUAUUAUUA